Molecule: unclassified non-coding RNA, 1340 nt
Filed under: uncultured Neocallimastigales
Lineage: Eukaryota; Fungi; Neocallimastigomycota; Neocallimastigomycetes; Neocallimastigales
Description: partial contains internal transcribed spacer 1, 5.8S ribosomal RNA, internal transcribed spacer 2, and large subunit ribosomal RNA
Rfam family: Eukaryotic large subunit ribosomal RNA (bases 591-1340)
Source: RNAcentral
UUCCGUAGGUGAACCUGCGAAGAUCAUAAUAAAUGGUCUACGUUUUUUAAGUAGACGCUUAUAAUCUACCCUUUGUGAAUUUGUUGUUUGAAAUAUUUUUUUUAAAAUUAUUGAUGUCUUUCCUGUUGAAUUGUUUGUCUUAAUGGCAAAUGAUUCGCAGGGAGUGUCAGUAAUUUUAAAAAGACCUUUUUUUAAAUUAAACUUUUGUAUUCAUUGUCUAAAAUUAUUUUAUAAUAUAAAAACAACUUUUGACAAUGGAUUCUUGUUCUCGCAACGAUGAAGAACGCAGCAAAAUGCGAUAAGUAGUGUGAAUUGCAGAUACGUGAAUCAUCGAAUCUUGAACGCAUAUUGCACUUUUUGUUUACUAAAAAGUAGUCUGUUUGAGUAUCAGUAAAUAUUCUCAUAAAACUUUUGUUUUAUGUUAUGAGUGUUUUACAACGAUACAAGUUGUUUCACUUUAAAUUUUUUUAAAAUUUGAAUUUUUCUAAUUUUAAAUAAAAUGGAUAAAAUUUCCCGUAAAAAAGGAAUAACCUAAACAAUUUAAUUUUGAUUAGAAUCUUCAAUUAUAAAGGAAAAUUUAACUAAUAACUUGAUCUCAAAUCAGAUAGAGUACCGCUGAACUUAAGCAUAUCAAUAAGCGGAGGAAAAGAAACUAACAAGGAUUCCUUAGUAACGGCGAUGAAGCGGGAAGAGCUCAAAUUUGAAAUCUUCAAGGUUUUACCUUGACGAUUGUAGUUUAAAGAAGUGUUUUCUGUUGAAGUUUUGGUAAAAGUCCUUGAAUAGACAUCAUAGAGGUGAGAAUCCUAUUUGACCAUUAUUUUCAGCUGUGUGAUACACUUUCAAAGAGUCGGAUUGUUUGGAAUGCAGUCCAAAAUGGUGGUAAAUUUCAUCUAAAGCUAAUAUUGCGAGAGACGAUAGCGAACAAGUACGUGAGGGAAGAUGAAAAGAACUUUGAAAGAGAGUUAAACAGUACGUGAAAUUGUCAAAAGGAAGCGUUUGACACCAGUGUUGUUUCUCGAAAUCAAUUAAAAAGAGUUGGAUUUUGUGUUGUAUUGACCUUAACAGCUUGCUUCACUCUUUUCUUGCUUUUUUUAAUGCACUUUUCGUUUAACAGUCAACAUCAGUUUCUUUUGUUGUAAAAGGUCAUUGGAAGGUGGCUUUCUCUUCGGAGAAAGUGUUUAUAGCUUUGAUCUCUGCAAUCGGAGAGACUGAGGUCUGCAGCGUAGAUCUUCGGGUUAGAUACAUUUGUGCUAAGCUACAGUUUCCAUAGACAACUUGUUGACUAUGUUUAGUCUUGUAACUUACCCGCUUAUGCUAUUUUACCUACGCUUAGGAUGUUG